GCAGUCGAACGGCAGCAUGAUCUAGCUUGCUAGAUUGAUGGCGAGUGGCGAACGGGUGAGUAAUACAUCGGAACGUGCCCUGUAGUGGGGGAUAACUAGUCGAAAGAUUAGCUAAUACCGCAUACGACCUGAGGGUGAAAGUGGGGGACCGCAAGGCCUCAUGCUAUAGGAGCGGCCGAUGUCUGAUUAGCUAGUUGGUGAGGUAAAGGCUCACCAAGGCGACGAUCAGUAGCUGGUCUGAGAGGACGAUCAGCCACACUGGGACUGAGACACGGCCCAGACUCAUACGGGAGGCAGCAGUGGGGAAUUUUGGACAAUGGGGGCAACCCUGAUCCAGCAAUGCCGCGUGUGUGAAGAAGGCCUUCGGGUUGUAAAGCACUUUUGUCCGGAAAGAAAUCGCACUUACUAAUAUUAGGUGUGGAUGACGGUACCGGAAGAAUAAGGACCGGCUAACUACGUGCCAGCAGCCGCGGUAAUACGUAGGGUCCAAGCGUUAAUCGGAAUUACUGGGCGUAAAGCGUGCGCAGGCGGUUGUGCAAGACCGAUGUGAAAUCCCCGGGCUUAACCUGGGAAUUGCAUUGGUGACUGCACGGCUAGAGUGUGUCAGAGGGGGGUAGAAUUCCACGUGUAGCAGUGAAAUGCGUAGAGAUGUGGAGGAAUACCGAUGGCGAAGGCAGCCCCCUGGGAUAACACUGACGCUCAUGCACGAAAGCGUGGGGAGCAAACAGGAUUAGAUACCCUGGUAGUCCACGCCCUAAACGAUGUCAACUAGUUGUUGGGGAUUCAUUUCCUUAGUAACGUAGCUAACGCGUGAAGUUGACCGCCUGGGGAGUACGGUCGCAAGAUUAAAACUCAAAGGAAUUGACGGGGACCCGCACAAGCGGUGGAUGAUGUGGAUUAAUUCGAUGCAACGCGAAAAACCUUACCUACCCUUGACAUGCCACUAACGAAGCAGAGAUGCAUUAGGUGCUCGAAAGAGAAAGUGGACACAGGUGCUGCAUGGCUGUCGUCAGCUCGUGUCGUGAGAUGUUGGGUUAAGUCCCGCAACGAGCGCAACCCUUGUCUCUAGUUGCUACGAAAGGGCACUCUAGAGAGACUGCCGGUGACAAACCGGAGGAAGGUGGGGAUGACGUCAAGUCCUCAUGGCCCUUAUGGGUAGGGCUUCACACGUCAUACAAUGGUGCAUACAGAGGGUUGCCAAGCCGCGAGGUGGAGCUAAUCCCAGAAAAUGCAUCGUAGUCCGGAUCGUAGUCUGCAACUCGACUACGGAAGCUGAAUCG
Molecule: ribosomal RNA, 1280 nt
Filed under: uncultured Ralstonia sp.
Lineage: Bacteria; Pseudomonadati; Pseudomonadota; Betaproteobacteria; Burkholderiales; Burkholderiaceae
Description: bacterial SSU rRNA
Rfam family: Bacterial small subunit ribosomal RNA
Source: RNAcentral